This 301-nucleotide ribosomal RNA is filed under the name uncultured bacterium. Its description in RNAcentral is "partial 16S ribosomal RNA". It matches the Rfam family "Bacterial small subunit ribosomal RNA", at positions 509 to 808 of the family's 1533-position model. The record is from RNAcentral.
CAGUAGCCGCGGGAAUACGUAGGUGGCAAGCGUUGUCCGGAAUUAUUGGGCGUAAAGGGCUCGCAGGCGGUUUCUUAAGUCUGAUGUGAAAGCCCCCAGCUCAACCGGGGAGAGUCAUUGGAAACUGGGAAACUUGAGUGCAGAAGAGGAGAGUGGAAUUCCACGUGUAGCGGUGAAUGCGUAGAGAUGUGGAGGAACACCAGUGGCGAAGGCGACUCUCUGGUCUGUAACUGACGCUGAGGAGCGAAAGCGUGGGGAGCGAACAGGAUUAGAUACCCCGGUAGUCCCUGUCUCUUAUACA